GUACCAUGUGGCACCCAUAGCCAUUAUACCAGGAGUUCCCUAUCAAAAUGUAACUUCUAAAAGAUUUCAUUAAACUAAAUUAAGUUGAUUGUAACUUUGAGUGAUCUCUGUUGUUAUUCUUCUCCAUAUGUCUAAAUAAUGGAGAACAACUAGGAAAAUUGAGAUCGCUAUUUUCAGUAACCUCCACAGCAGAGUUACUAAUUACGUCAUACCUCUGCUGAAAACUUGGGUGGUUUUUCUUUCUAUUUGUUGUAUCAAUAUUCUUCGUGGAAUGGUUUCAUAGCUUCUGAUGAUAAAGCUCAUGUUUUGUUAGCACAAAACCCAUUUAUUUUAAGGCUAAUAUUUCCUUGCAUUUAUUAAGCUUUUUAUUUAUUUAUUUGUUUUGGGGAAGAUUAGGCCUGAGCUAACAUCUGCUGCCAGUCCUCCUCUUUGCUGAGGAAGACUGACCCUGAGCUACACCCGUGCCCAUCUCCCUCUAUUUUAUAUGUGGGACCCCUGCCACAGCAUGGCUGGAUAAGAGGUGCCAUGUCCGCACCUGGGAUCCAAACCCACGAGCCCCGGGCUGCUGAAGCAGAACGUGAGAACUUAACUCCUGCACCACUGGGCUGGCCCUGUUAAGCUUUUCAUUUUCAAUGACCCUUUAGUCUCUUCUCUUAUCUAAAAAGAGAACAGCUGAGGAGAAGUGCUCUGUUACCUUCCAAUAUUCCACAGAAUGGCUCUGUGACAGGCUAAAUCAUUGACAGCUUAAUCUGUGCAUUUUAUUUUCUUCAGUUUUUUCCCCCUCCCAUCUGGUCCAAUGAGGUAGGUCUUUGUAAUUCCCAUCCUGAGGAUUUUUCCAAGAAAAAGUGGAAAUAUCUUCAUGUCAAUAGUUCUUCCUACCUUUUGUAAAAGGCUAACUUAUUUGUCCAUGAAGCCAGGUAAGACUCCCAACAUUAUCACUUCCUACUAAGAGUGAAAAAGGGACCAAUAUUGAAAAAUGUUCAAUCAAAUAAUAUGUCAGUACAGCAUCAAUUAACAUAGAUGAUAUGUAUCGUUAUCAGAGAUAUUAAUUCAUUUACAGUGAAAAGGUAUUUAUACUAUGUAUUCAAACAGACAAUUAUCACAUCUGUUUUAUUUUACAGCUGGUUUAAAGUUUUCUUUUUAAAUGGUAAAGUGACAAUACCUCAUGAAAAUAGAGAUCAUUGAAAUUGAAGUUUUUAACAAAUGUUUAUUUAGAGCCCUGGAGCUUAAUUCUCUUAAGCUUUUUUACUUUUAUGAAUUUAAGUCAACUUUUCCUUUUUUAGUUUUGGAAUUGAUUUUUACAAUAACAAGAUAAAAGGGAUUACCUUCUCUAAACUACUUAUUUGUUUAAGUGGACAAAUAAUUAGUCACUGGCCUAUUUAAAAAAUAUCUUCCAAAUGUUGCUUUAGGAAACAAGUCUGGAUUUAAUUUGUGAGAAAUGCACACACAAAUUGAAAAGUAUGAAAUUCUGUUUUCUGCACUCCUUUUGCACUGAAAAAACUGCUGACUCUUUAAAACCAACCACUGAAAAGUGUUUUUGAUCUACACUCACAAUCUAUAAGUCUAUGUUAAGUAACCUUGAUAUUCUCUCUGUGAAAUUUCCGUAUCCUUUGAUUGUGACAGAACCAUCUAAUUCUGUUCCGUGAAGUCUUGAAAAGCAAAGAUGCUUGUAAAAUGGAUUAAAUUAAAAACAGCUUGAGUUCUUGAUCAUUAUACUUGGAAGAUUCCAGAUCUCUGUACCAUAUUGGCCUUCCUUUAUUGAAUUCCCCAAAAUAUUACGAAACAACCAUUUAAUAAAGCAAAGCUGAAUAGAUUAGAAGUCACUGCUGUGAGAUAGAAUGCCACCUUGACAGAUCUCAGCAGUUUCUCACGAGAGGGAAGUCUGAAUGGAUGUUUCUAGGGUGUUGAGGUCUGGGCAAAUGUUUCAAGACGGAGAGAUGAUGGAGACUGGGCAAACUUCUGACAUAAUAGUUUAGGAUUGGUGAACAGAGUAAGAGAGAACACUGAAGGAAUGUUUGGAGAGAAUGCUGAUGCCUCUGGACUGCGCCCAGUUCUAAACAAGGAUUAACACCAACCAUGCAUGCAUCUGCUAUGAACCCAAACGAUCUCUUAAAGCUGUUGCAUCUUUCCUCCCAUUCUUUGAGGACCAAAAAACGAAUAAAAAAUGUGUACUUUACAACCAAGAGAUUGUGUAAAACUCAUGCAAUUGGCAUAUCCUCUGUAAAAUUUAAGCUACUGAUCUACCAUUAGUGGAACAUAUGUUUUGAGUUAUUUUCUGAGUUAGGGAAUGAAUUUAGGUCACACCUCUACUGGGUUCUUUUUUGUUCAUUGAAUAAUAUAUACAUGUUUAUAAAUGUGCUUUUUAUGUAUAUGUUAUGAGUAUGUUUUCUAGAUAUGUGUUAAAAUUUAUUUAUUACAUAAGCCAGCCAUGGUGAUCUAGUGGUUAAUAUUCAGCAUUCUCACCACCAGGGCCUGGGUUCUUUUCCCAGUCAGGGAACCUUACCACCCUUCUGUCGGUUGUCAUACUGUACUGACUGUGUGCUGCUGUGAUGCUGAAAGCUAUGUCACUGGUAUGUCAAAUACCAGC
This 2587-nucleotide long non-coding RNA is filed under the name Equus caballus (horse). RNAcentral describes it as "lncRNA (ENSECAG00000051907.1)". Lineage: Eukaryota; Metazoa; Chordata; Mammalia; Perissodactyla; Equidae. The record is from RNAcentral.